GACGAACGCUGGCGGCGUGCCUAAUACAUGCAAGUUGAGCGCUGAAGGUUGGUACUUGUACCAACUGGAUGAGCAGCGAACGUGUGAGUAACGCGUGGGGAAUCUGCCUUUGAGCGGGGGACAACAUUUGGAAACGAAUGCUAAUACCGCAUAAAAACUUUAAACACAAGUUUUAAGUUUGAAAGAUGCAAUUGCAUCACUCAAAGAUGAUCCCGCGUUGUAUUAGCUAGUUGGUGAGGUAAAGGCUCACCAAGGCGAUGAUACAUAGCCGACCUGAGAGGGGAUCGGCCAAAUUGGGGAUGAGACAAGGCCCAAACUCCCACGGGAGGGAGCAGUAGGGAAUCUUCGGCAAUGGAAGAAAGUCUUACCGAGCAACGCCGGGUGAGUGAAGAAGGGUUUUGGAUCGGAAAACUCUGUUGGUAGAGAAGAACGGUGGGGAGAGUGGAAAGCUCAUCAAGGGACGGUAACUACCCAGAAAGGGACGGCUAACUACGUG
RNAcentral lists this ribosomal RNA (496 nucleotides) under uncultured bacterium. Its description in RNAcentral is "partial 16S ribosomal RNA". It matches the Rfam family "Bacterial small subunit ribosomal RNA", at positions 28 to 507 of the family's 1533-position model. The record is from RNAcentral.